AGUCAGCUGCACGCAGAGCUAGCGGGUGGACGUGUGUUGACCAGUGCUCCGACUCUGUGAUUUACUAUUAUAUAAAAACCCCCGGGAAUACACCCUAUAGCCGCUGCAGGCUGUUGCAGUCAGUCUGUUGGACCGGAUCGCCAAUCUGUCUCCACACCUGCCUGACGACACACGUGCUUGAGCCCCCCCACACACACCUGCUGAGCGCCACACAACUGCUGAGCGUCGCAUCUGCUCCUCGGCGCCACGAUUAUGUCACUGGUCACCGUUUUGGGCAGCAUGGGCAAUGGGGGCAGAGUGCCCGGCAAGGCGAACGUUUACGGCUUCGGCGGGAUUCCUCCCUCGCUGAAGGAGAAGAAGCUGAAGGAGGCGAAGCACCACCAGCAGCACCAACAGCUCCACCAGCAGCACCAACAGCACCACCAGCAGCACCAACAGCACCACCACCAACAGCAGCACCACGCCGGGGCCAAGGCUUCACCCACCACACCCACCGACACCCACUCCGACACUCACUCCGACACGAAGAAGAAAGAAGACGUUAAAUGAGAAAACGUGGAGGUGAAGACAUGCUGUUGGUGAGGUUCUUCGUGCCUGUAGCAGCCUGAAGGGUGGAGAUGGCUGAUCAUUUUUAUAUCUGAAGGUGGAGCCGCCCCUGCUGGAGCCUCACACGCACAAAGGCCAACGGAGGCUCGGUUGGGGGCGGCUUCUCCCCAUCGUAGAGUUUAUCCGCUGACUGGGCUACUCAAGAGGCAUCAUGGCGACCUCUCUCAGGCCUGCCACGGUGCUCUAUUCUCCUUGGGCUCGUGGAUGCCCAGUCCAUAGCUCUCUGGAACUCGUGGAGAGCGUUCAAAGCUCUCCAGAGCUCUAGAAGUGUAUUCACAGCGUCCUAUGGGUCGUCGACACGAAGUUCGCCGCUCUUCAGCAGUUGUGGAAACGGAGUUCGAAGUUCCUCAGAGCUUGUGGAAACGGAGUUCGCAGUUCCUCAGAGCUUGUGGACACGGAUACUGAAAUAAUCUUGGAUUUCCCGAGGCCAAGUCUAGCACAUUCUUCCGCUCAAAUUCUUAAGAGGACAGAGCCCAUUCAUCAAUGUAAUUAAUAUUCGAGAUAUAUGUCAAAUCCUUUAAAAUAUGUUAUUCAAUAAUAUACCCUUACCUUGUAGGACAGGAUUUCUUCCUACAAGCGUUUAGGCACAUUGGUAGGGCAUCCUCCCAGGAUUCUAGCAUCUUUUUCAAACUCUCCAUUCCAUCCUCUUUCAGUAAUCAAAACACGUGCACAAGCAUUACCACCUCUGCUUUGUAUAUACGCAGCAUGAAGCAUUUCAAGCUUAUUUAUGCUGUAGCGAGACGACUAAUGCCUUCGUAAAUGUCUCCUUGUUUGCUUGGUUAGUUGCCAUUUAGCCUUCAGUCUUGCGAAGUGCCCGUUGCUAUUCUAGCAAGUAGAAUGGCAACUGCCACCUGGCCAAGUCUACUGACUACUAUUGCUGGGCCAAGUAGAGUGGUUGCUCUCACUCAACCAAAUAGGCUACAUGUUGUCACUUAGCCAAGUAGAUUGGCUGUCACUCGACCAAGUAAACUAGCAUUUGUCACUCUAUCGAGUGGCUGUUGUCACUCGAUCAAGUGGAGAAGCAGCUGUCACUCGACUAAACACAGCAGUUGCUGCCACUUGGCCUCAGGCCUAAUAUAGCGGAUACUACGGUUCAACGCAGUGGAGAAGCUGUUAUCAAUCCAUCAAGUAGAGUCGCUGGUAUCACUCCUGCAGGUAGUGUAGGUGCUGCCCCUCGACCAAACCAAGUAGCAGCUAUAUCACUCGACCAAGAAGAGAGUAGCGAUGAUCACACGGCCGCCUACAGAAGCUGCUAUCACUCGGCCAAGCAGGGCGACAAGUGCUACUCGGCCAAGGACAAUGUUCCUCUCGGCCAGAACGUUCGGGCCUCGUUCGUAUAAGAUUUGACGCACAAAUUCAAUGUUUCCUUUUGUUUCAGUAUUGCUCAAAAAACUUGCAACGACGUGGCUGAUAUGUAUUGACCAAAACAGCAAUUCGACUCCUGCUUGAGACGCCACUGUCUUGACGGACUCUCAAUGGUGCCUCGAUCAAUGUUAUCUUAAGAGUUACCUUUUGGGGGAUAAUUAUUGAAUCUAGCUAUUUAUGUACCUAUCAAAUGCUAUUAUUUUUCCAAAAAAAAAACACAAAAAAAUCUUCAGAGAGGAUUUUUGGAAGUGGAACCCACCUGAGGGGCCAGUUUGACCGACUUUUGAAGGGUUCUCUAUAUAUUUUAUCACAUAGAAAUCUUGAGUGCAUUUGGCCAUAAUGUAGAAACAUAAUUUUCUAUAGGAGAUGAGAACUAAAUACACAACAAGUCAUUUUAUUCCAUAGUGAGAUUUUAAGUAAAUGAAAACAAAUAACCCUUCAAGUUCUCAUUAUUUGUUUUCUUGGUGAAUGAAGCUUUUGUAAAGGUAAUUCUUUGGAGCAUGUGUGUAAAAAUAACAUUUCAAUUGACAAGUGUCGCUGGAAGACAUUUAGUGUACAUAAGUAACGAGGAUCAGGGUGAGUACUGUACGUACAGUCGUCUGCUGGCAACCUCGAACACUGUAUAUUCUCACCCCUACCCCCCAGGGGCAAGCCUGGGCACGAGUCGUUGAUGUCGCAGUCAAUGAUGAUCCUCUGUUGAUCUGACGUUGAUGUAGCAGUGAGUCAACACUGAUGCCCUGUUGAUCUGACGUUGAUGUACCGUUAUAUUACUGUAUAUAACAUGGCGUUGAUGUCAGCGGUGGGCUGUGAGGCGCCUGUUUCCAACCCUUGCCACCAGAGGCACUCGGGUGCUGAACAUCACCGUGAACUGAACAGCAAGACUGAGUCUUGAGGGACCCCUUUGUUGCAGUGAAGACUGUAUCAGUUUAUUUCUGUAUACUGUAUGUUUGGUCGAGGAGGUCUGUUGACCAUGGUAGUCACACGUUCAUAUAAACGGCACCACUUUAACUGACUUUCAGUUGGAGAGGAAGUAUAUAUAGGAUACUUUUACAGCACUUAUAGUAUACUCUUUGGUUGGCAUGUAGAGUGAUGGUUCUCUUCUGAUGAUGGAAGAUAUCGCAGUAAUGAGAGAAGGCGCUAGGACACUAGGAAGGUAUACCAGGACAAGGAGCCAGGAUAUGAGACAGACUAAGUGCUGGGAUAUGAGACAGACUAAGUGCUGGGAUAUGAGACAGACUAAGUGCUGGGAUAUGAGACAGACUAAGAGCUUGCAUAUAAAGACUGAUAAAGAGCCAGGACAUGAUAACAUAGUGGCGGAACAGUGCCCGGCGGCUACUUAGAUCAUCGGGGGAUCGAACGUCGAUCUUGCAAUGAGGUAGGAAUGAGGCGCCUCACUGACUCACCGUUGAGCCAGACUCAUCGAUGUGCUGCGGUGUUUGUGUGUGUGUGUGUGUGUGUAACACGCGUACUCAUCAAGUCAUUCAGGUUAUUCAUGGUGUUAAAAUCCCCUUGUACCCCCAUUUAUACAUUUAAAAAAAUAUGAAAAUUACAUGUAUUUUAUAUUCAAUAUAUAAAUCUUGUUCUUGCGUGCUCUUAGAAAAAUAUUCCUUCUCUUUAUUGUUUGAAAUAUAAUUCAAAAGUACACAAAAAAAUACAAAAAAUGUGUCGUUCAUGCUGAUUGAAAAUACUGAACAUAUCAGAAAAUGCCCCAAUAUUUUGUACCGUAGAUUGUACCACGCUUCCUAUAUAACUUGAUAUACCCAGACAGUAGUAUAUUUAUGUACUCUGUUGAUGCUAUAAGCUGCAGUACUGAACAGGGACGAGCUGGUAACGCAGUCCACUGUCCCAGCUGGUACUGAGGUAAAUAAUGGGUAAGUAGGUAGUUCUAGGGAAACUGACUACAGAAGGGUAAUUGUGGUCUUGUUUAUUAUCCAGCUAGGGAGGAAAUGGUCGACUUACCCAGUCAGUUGACGGGGAAAUGGUCGACUUACCCAGUCAGUUGACGGGGAAAUGGUCGACUUACCCAGUCAGUUGACGGGGAAAUGGUCGACUUACCCAGUCAGUUGACGGGGAAAUGGUCGACUUACCCAGUCAGUUGACGGGGAAAUGGUCGACUUACCCAGUUAGUUGACGGGGAAAUGGUCGACUUACCCAGUCAGUUGACGGGGAAAUGGUCGACUUACCCAGUCAGUUGACGGGAAAAUGAUCGACUUAUCCAGUCAGUUGACGGGGAAAUGGUCGACUUACCCAGUCAGUUGACGGGGAAAUGGUCGACUUACCCAGUCAGUUGAUGGGGAAAUGGUCGACUUACCCAGUCAGUUGACGGGGAAAUGGUCGACUUACCCAGUCAGUUGACGGGGAAAUGGUCGACUUACCCAGUCAGUUGACGGGGAAAUGGUCGACUUACCCAGUCAGUUGACGGGGAAAUGGUCGACUUACCCAGUCAGUUGACGGGGAAAUGGUCGACUUACCCAGUCAGUUGACGGGGAAAUGGUCGACUUACCCAGUUAGUUGACGGGGAAAUGGUCGACUUACCCAGUCAGUUGACGGGGAAAUGGUCGACUUACCCAGUCAGUUGACGGGGAAAUGGUCGACUUACCCAGUUAGUUGAUGGGGAAAUGGUCGACUUACCCAGUUAGUUGACGGGGAAAUGGUCGACUUACCCAGGUAGUUGAUGGGGAAGUGGUCGACUUACCCAGGCAGUUGAUGAGGAAAUGGUCGACUUACCCAGUCAGCUAAGGGGGGGGGGAUAAUUAACGAUUGGCCUCUUAACUAGCCAAGUAAACAGUUUCUGUUCGCCUCGUUGUCCAAGAUUCGACUAUUCCCAGCACCUUAUAUUAAUGACUCAAUGGUAUAUCCCAGAAGACAUAUAAGAGCCAACAGAAUAGUCAACUAAUGGUCAAACUAUUAUAGUCUCUCCGAACGAAUUAUAAUAUAACUCUCGAGUGAAGAAUUGAAUUCCAUAAUGUUAUACAUUACUUCAGAAACUUGGCUCAUUAAUUAAUCAAGAUUUUAAUUUUUUUAUCAUUUGUGCAUUUAAGUAUUUUCAAAGGGUAAAAAUUUAAUGAAUAUUUUGUAAGUAGUUUGAUUACAAAAAAAUAAUGUUCAUGACUAUUUUGCAACGUAAAUAAUGAAAUAAAAAUCCUCUAGAAAAUAUAUAUUUUUUUUAAGUUCAGGAAAUGUUUUCAUUGUAGUCGGAUUUUGGAAAAUUUGCUUCAAGUUCAAGAUAUUUAAACGUUAAACUUUUAUGAUGGGUUUUAUUUAAUUAAAACGAAAACAUAUCUUCAAAAGGCUUUUAUAUUUUGAAGCAUUUCAUAGAAACGUGUCGAUUCAGAAUUUGUAAUUACUAAUUUUUAUUGUUAUUAUUAUUUUAUCCUUAGGUAACUCCAGAGACUCAGGAUAACAGGUGCAUAAUUUUGAAGGAAAUUUCUGUGGUUUUGAAAAAAAAAAAAUUGUGUAGUUUUGAAGAAAAAUCGAGUAGUUUUUCUAAAAAAUGUGAGUAGUUUUCAAAGAAAUUUGAGUAGCUUUUUUAAAAAUUGUAGCAACUUUCAACGAAAUUUGAAAAAUUUCUUACCACGGUGAGAGUAAUUUUCAGUUCAAAAUGAACUUAAAAAAUAUUGUGAUUUAAUAUUGAACUGACCUCCCAAACAUUUCUCUAAAAGACCGUGAUCUAAAUUUACCAAGUAUUUUUGUACAGUUUUGAACAAAUCUGAACAAUGGAGGGGAAGCUUGCAUGUGGCACAGAGGCUCAUCUUUAUCUAUGUCUGUAAAAAAAAAAAAUGAAAAAUUUAUGUACAUAUUAAAUUGUGCCUUGAAAUGUGACAUUAUAAUUCUCUGUAUUAAAAUAUCCUCUCUAGAAACACAACUUUAUGCUAGGACCUCUAGAGAGUACUAGGACCUCUUAGUACUAGGACCUCUUAGUACUAAGACCUCUUAGAGAGUACUAGGAUCUCUUAGAGAGUAUUAAGACCUCUUAGAGAGUACUAGGACCUCUUAGAGAGUACUAGGAGCUCUUAGAGAGUACUAGGAUCUCUAGAGAGUACUAGGACCUCUAGAGAGUACUAGGACCUCUAGAGAGUACUAGGACCUCUUAGAGAGUACUAGGACCUCUAGAGAGUACUAGGACCUCUUAGAGAGUACUAGGACCUCUUAGAGAGUACUAGGACCUCUUAGAGAGUACUAGGACCUCUAGAGAGUACUAGGACCUCUAGAGAGUACUAGGACCUCUAGAGAGUACUAGGACCUCUUAGAGAGUACUAGGACCUCUAGAGAGUACUAGGACCUCUUAGAGAGAAAUACGACGUCUAGAGAGUACUAGGACCUCUUAGAGAGUACUAGGACCUCUAGAGAGUACUAGGCCCUCUAGAGAGUAUUUGGACCUCUUAGAGAGUACUAGGCCCUCCAGAGAGUACUAGGACCUCUUAGAGAGUACUAGGACCUCUUGGAGAGUACUAGGAGCUCUUAGAGAGUAUUAAGACCUCUUAGAGAGUACUAGGACCUUAGAGAGUACUAGGACCUCUACAGAGUACUAGGACCUCUUAGAGAGUACUAGGACCUCUACAGAGUACUAGGACCUCUAGAGAGUACUAGGACCUCUUAGAGAGUACUAGGACCUCUAGAGAGUACUAGGACCUCGUAGAGAGUACUAAGACCUCUUAGAGAGUACUAAGACCUCUUAGAGAGUACUAGGACCUCUUAGAGAGUACUAGGACCUCUAGAGAGUACUAGGACCUCUUAGAGAGUACUAGGACCUCUUAGAGAGUACUAGGACCUCUUAGAGAGUACUAGGACCUCUUAGAGAGUACUAGGACCUCUAGAGAGUACUAGGACCUCUAGAGAGUACUAGGACCUCUAGAGAGUACUAAGACCUCUAGAGAGUACUAAGACCUCUUAGAGAGUACUAGGACCUCUUGGAGAGUACUAGGACCUCUUAGAGAGUACUAGGACCUCUAGAGAGUACUAAGACCUCUUAGAGAGUACUAGGACCUCUAGAGAGUACUAAGACCUCUAGAGAGUACUAGGACCUCUUAGAGAGUACUAUGACCUCUAGAGAGUACUAGGACCUCUAGAGAGUACUAGGACCUCUUAGAGAGUACCAGAACCUCUUAGAGAGUACUUAGACCUCUUAGAGAGUACUAGAACCUCUUAGAAAGUACUAAGACCUGUAGAGAGUACUAGGACCUCGUAGAGAGUACUAGGACCUCUUAGAGAGUACUAGGACCUCUAGCAAGUACUAGGACCUCUUAGAGAGUACUAGGACCUCUAGAGAGUACUAGGACCUCUACAGAGUACUAGGACCUCUAGAGAAUACAAGGACCUCUAGAGAGUACUAGGAUCUCUUGAGAGUACUAGGACCUCUAGAGUGAGUACUAGGACCUCUAGAGAGUACUAGGACCUCUGAGUGAGUACUAGGACCUCUAGAGAGUACUAGGACCUCUAGAGAGUACUAGGAUCUCUAGAGAGUACUAGGACCUCUAGAGUGAGUACUAGGACCUCUAGAGAGUACUAGGAUCUCUAGAGUGAAUACUAGGACCUCUAGAGAGUACUAGGACCUCUAGAGAGUACUAGGACCUCUUAGAGAGUACUAAGACCUCUUAGAGAGUACUAGGACCUCUUAGAGAGUACUAAGACCUCUUAGAGAGUACUAGGACCUCUAGAGAGUACUAGGACCUCUUAGAGAGUACUAGGACCUGUAGAGAGUAUUAGGACCUCUUAGAGAGUACUAGGACCUCUUAGAGAGUACUAGGACCUCUUAGAGAGUACUAAGACCUCUUAGAGAGUACUAGGACCUCUAGAAAGUACUAGGACCUAUAGAGAGUACUAACAUCUCUAGAGACUACUAGGACCUCUUAGAGAAUGCUAAGACCUCUUAGAGAGUACUAAGACCUCUUAAAAGAGUACUAGACCCUCUAGAAAGUACUAGGACCUCUAGAAAACAGAUACUAUUCCGAGUCUUCCAGUGUUAUGAGAUUACAUAAACAAAUUCUCCAAACAGGAGCGUUGGUGUUCUUUUCAACAGGACAACAGAUAAGCUUUUUAGCAGGGCUAUUGAUGUGCUUCAUAACAGGAAUAUAAAUGUUCUUCACAGUAGAAAUAUAUUGACUUUCUUCAUAACAAGAAUAUAGAUGUUCUUCAGUCCAAAAAACAUAGAUACUGUAUUCUUUACAUCAGGAAUAUAGACAUUUUUCACAGUAAAAUAAUAUAUAUUAGAUUCACUUUAUUCCAGCAUCUUGUGAACUCUCUUUGUGUGGAAAUUACAUCAGCACAAGAGAAAGGUAGACGAUCCACAUAUAUAUAAUACAUAUGCACUAUAGAAAGAUCCAUAAGUUAAUACAUAGCUUUGCAAAAAUAGAUUACACGUAUAUAGAAAUAUGCUUCAUAUAUGUGAAAAAAUAGCCUUUGAGAUAUAUUGACAUAGGAUUAUCACACUACUGGGGAGGGCUCACACCACUGGGCUCACAACACUGGGCUCACAACACUGGGCUCACACCACUGGGCUCACAACACUGGGCUCACAACACUGGGCUCACAACACUGGGCUCACAACACUGGGCUCACACCACUGGAAGACUUUGAUAUAAGCUGAGAUUCCUUUACCACUUGCUCCUCUUACUCACAGGAGGGGAGACUCUUGCUGCUCUUACUCACAGGAGGGGAGGCUCUUGCUGCUCUUACUCACAGGAGGGGAGACUCUUGCUGCUCUUACUCACAGGAGGGGAGACUCUUGCUGCUCUCACUCACAGGAGAGGGACUCCAGUUCCCUCCGGCUAGCUGUAUGGUCGGCUAAUAUUAAAGUGUUUGUACAAGGGACAUAUUUCUCAAUAAAUGUCUACCCAAA
This is a non-coding RNA of Procambarus clarkii (red swamp crayfish), 8809 nucleotides long. The record is from RefSeq and is a predicted model, not a curated record. NCBI's taxonomy places the organism in Eukaryota, Metazoa, Arthropoda, Malacostraca, Decapoda, Cambaridae.